GAUGAACGCUGGCGGCGUGCCUAAUACAUGCAAGUCGAGCGAACAGACGAGGAGCUUGCUCCUUUGACGUUAGCGGCGGACGGGUGAGUAACACGUGGGUAACCUACCUAUAAGACUGGGAUAACUUCGGGAAACCGGAGCUAAUACCGGAUAAUAUUUCGCACCGCGUGGUUCGAUAGUGAAAGAUGGCUUUGCUAUCACUUAUAGAUGGACCUGCGCCGUAUUAGCUAGUUGGUAAGGUAACGGCUUACCAAGGCAACCAUACGUAGACGACCUGAGAGGGUGAUCGGCCACACUGGAACUGAGACACGGUCCAUACUCCUACGGGAGGCAGCAGUAGGGAAUCUGCCGCAAUGGGCGAAAGCCUGACGGAGCAACGCCGCGUGAGUGAUGAAGGUCUUCGGAGCGUAAAACUCGGUUAUUAGGGAAGAACAAACGUGUAAGUAACUGUGCACGUCUUGACGGUACCUAAUCAGAAAGCCACGGCUAACUACGUG
RNAcentral lists this ribosomal RNA (497 nucleotides) under uncultured bacterium. Its description in RNAcentral is "partial 16S ribosomal RNA". It matches the Rfam family "Bacterial small subunit ribosomal RNA", at positions 28 to 507 of the family's 1533-position model. The record is from RNAcentral.